GGAGGAUUAAGCCAAGUUGGUCUAUGGGCUGCGGUCUUGAAAACCGUUAAGUUAACGCUGUGGGAGUUCAAGUCUCUCAUCCUCCG
RNAcentral lists this transfer RNA (86 nucleotides) under Bacteroidota bacterium. RNAcentral describes it as "Bacteroidetes bacterium tRNA-Ser". It matches the Rfam family "tRNA". Rfam says of the family: Transfer RNA (tRNA) molecules are approximately 80 nucleotides in length. The record is from RNAcentral. Lineage: Bacteria; Pseudomonadati; Bacteroidota.